AUAAAAAAUAGCUGACGAGGUCAGCAGAUAAUGUUACUUUAUUUACUGUUGCAUAUUUAUUUAUUUUCAAAUUAAAAGUCAUGUGGCACUCCCAGUAAUAAGUCCAGCAGUAUCAUACUGUCUGUUUAAAAUACAUAUAAGUUGAAACAAGGUAUUUGCGUUGCUAUGAUACGUAGGGACCAGCACCACAAUCCACGCACAGAAGUUAUCAUUUGUACGUACUAUACGCAAAUGAUGGCUAGCGAUCUCUGGAAAUGAGCCUAAGAAAAUUUGUUAACGAACGCAGGGUAUUUAAAAAACUAUUGACAGGAAAAUAUUUAUUUGCAGAUGUCGCAGGUAAAGCAACUUGCUUAAUAUGUUGAGCUAAUGUCACAGUUUUUAAAGAGUACAAUUUGCAGAGGCACUUCCAGAGCAAGCAUGCAGCGGAAUACAAAAACUGUCACCCGAUGCUACAAUUCAACAAGCCCAAGCGCAGAUGCGGCCUCUCUGAUGAACAUCUUGCAGCAGUACCGCACACUGCUUCAACAGAACCGCACACUGCUUCAAUAGAACCGCACACUGCUUCAACAGAACCGCACACUGCUUCAACAGAACCGCACACUGCUUCAACAGAACCGCACACUGCUUCAAUAGAAACGCACACUGCUUAAACAGAAAAGACUCCUGACUUCACCUCACUUGUCAACGCCCAUACGAGGCUGUCCUGUUCAUAUUGAGUGCUUAACUGGGAAACCAAAGGCUGUGCAAUGUGUGACCCUUCCGUCUGAAGUAUACAACAUUGAUUUGAAGCAUCAAAUACGUUACACAACUACGACCAACUGUGACGUAAUGGAUUAGUAAUGUAACGACACCACCGCCUCACAGUGUUGUGGCAACGUUAUCCGAAGGUAAAAGAAUGACCACAUAAUUGGUAAUCUUCCUUACCUGCUCAGUACAUUGCAGCAACGUAAGUACACAACAUACAGACAAUGUAACUACUUAUGUCCCUGUUUGGUUACGAUUUUACAUAACUACAACUGUCAAAUUUAACCUCCUAUUUCUGUUGCUACAACCAGAGGCGUUGCUAAGAUCUCAAUAAAUUCGGAAAUAGCACACCCCAGCCACCCCGGGAUAGAAAGAACUGGGUUGAAGAAAAUUGGAAUGUACAUGCUAGUGGCCUACGCGUAUACAUUGUCAUAGUGUGUGAUCGGAAUUAUAGAUGCAUAGAUCAGGGGCUAUUUUUUUUUUGUCAAUUUGAGAUCCAUGGCUAUUCAUAAAAGGCCCGGGGCUAUAGUCCUAAACGCCCAUGCCUAACGAUGUCACUGGCUACAAUUUACUUUGAUUAUGAUGGCAUUACUUGCCACCACAUCAGAAACCACAUAUACCUUAGUUUAGCCCAUAUGAAGAUCUUUAAAGAAUUCCCCAAUCCCAGCAAUUCAUCUCAUCUUCAUCCGCGUAUCGGGUCGCGGGGGCAGCAGCUCCAGCAGGGGACCCCCAAACUUCCCUUUCCCGAGCCAUAUUUGCCAGCUCUAACUGGCCUGGGAACGCCUCGGGAACCCCCAAUGUCGAAAUAUAAUCUCUCCACCUAGUCCUACCUAGUCCAUCUCUAAUGGAGAAGCCAGCCACCCUUCUGAGAAAACCCAUUUCAGCCGCUUGUACUCGGGAUCUAGUUCUUUUGGUCAUGACCCAGCCUUCAUGACCAUAGGUGAGGGUAGGAACGAAAAUUGACCAGUAUAUCGAGAGCUCUCUUUUCGUCACAACGUUGCGGUAAAACGAAUGUAAUAUUCUCCGGCUCCAUUGUCCCCUCACUUGCGAACAAGACCCAGAGAUACUUGAACUCCUUUACUCGGGGUAACGCCUUAUUCCCUACCCGGAGUAGGCACUCCAUCGGUUUCCUGCUGAGAACCAUGGCCUCAGAUUUAGAGGUGCUAAUCCUCAUCCCAACCGCUUUGCACUCGGCUGCGAACUGGUCCAGUGAGUGCUGAAGGUCACAGACCAAUGAUGCCAUCAGGACCACAUCAUCCGCAAAAAAGAGGGAUGAGAUCCCCAGCCCACCAAACUGCAACCCCUCCCCACCCCGACUACGCCUCGAUAUUCUGUCCAUAAAAGUUACAAACAGGAUUGGUGACAAAGCGCAGCCCUGUAGUCUAUAGUAUAGUAUACCUGGAUUGCUGCUGCAGGUACACUGUAGCACAAGUUUUCUGUAAACGUACCUGGCUAACUAGCUACUACAGCUAGCUAACACUACAACGACAUUAACAAACAGCUUAGUUGUUAAGCCGGCAUAAUUUCUGGAGCACCGUCAUCAUUUCUGGACAAGGAUCUCAGGGAAGCUUAUUUAACUUCUUUACAAAGCAGAUAACUAAAAUCACUGAAAAUGGAACAUUUAGAAUGAAUGACUGGGAAUGACGUGUCUGUAGAAAGAGAACAAAGCCUAAACAAUUGGGUUGUGUCUGUAGCAACCAAAACAUGAGAGAGCUCAAAUUCACACAUAAAAUAUGUAAACAUAAAUGAAAACACAUUCUGUCUAGUGGUAAACAUAGCACAAAAAUGUUUUGAUUAGGGGGUUCUGAGUACAGCUGAGCAGAGGGGGGAGAAAGAUAAUGGACGGAUGAACACGCCAUGUUACUGUCGAUCAAAACUAAAAGUGCCUGUCGAAUCUCAUUAUCUGUGCUGAAACCACAACAGAGGGUGUCAGCAGUAUCACCAGCACCCCUACUUCCCACUGCUGUGCUAGGAAAGGUUUGCUUAAGUUGUUGUUUUUGGCCACUGGGGUAUAAGACGGAUAAACAGCUCAGUACAUUGCCUCUGAGUAACGAACUCCAAGAAG
Molecule: long non-coding RNA, 2809 nt
Organism: Esox lucius (northern pike)
Lineage: Eukaryota; Metazoa; Chordata; Actinopteri; Esociformes; Esocidae
Source: Ensembl